This 31-nucleotide non-coding RNA is filed under the name Rattus norvegicus (Norway rat). The record is from RNAcentral. Lineage: Eukaryota; Metazoa; Chordata; Mammalia; Rodentia; Muridae.
UAGAAGGUGACUUCAGGUUCUCAGACCUGGU